Triticum urartu is the source of this 1450-nucleotide long non-coding RNA. RefSeq lists it as uncharacterized. Lineage: Eukaryota; Viridiplantae; Streptophyta; Magnoliopsida; Poales; Poaceae. The record is from RefSeq and is a predicted model, not a curated record.
ACGUGAACGGGACUUCAGCCAAUUCUUACACGGGAAGCCCAAAAAACCACCCCCUCGACCCGGUUUAACCCCUUCACGAUUCUGCCCCAAAAAAACACCCCCUUGAGCAGGUUUCACCCCUUCACGAUCCUGCCCCAAUGAAGCAUCAACUCAUCGCGGGAGAUCACUAGGGCUGCUCCUCCUCCUCUGUAGUUUCCCUUCCGGACUAAGAUUUCAUGGUGGGAUUCAUCUAAUAAAGAUCCAACCAGUAUCUCUCUGAUGCCCAUCCUCUCCGGCCAUUGAGUCGCCUCUGCCCAAAGGAAGUUACGAUAUCCAAGUGAUUGGAACCCUAAUAUCCUUUCUUUGCAACCUUGAAAUCUUUUAGCUUCCAAUUCCAAGUUCUGACUACGCUCCAAUCAAGCAUCUAUUUUUGAUCCCAUAUGAAUCUAUUCAAGAUGGAUAUUGGUUGAUGGGAGAGCAACCUUAUGAAUCAACUGAUGGUAAUUUGAAGCAAUUCAGAUGCCUGCCGCCUUGGGUGAUGCCCACUACAAUGGACCCAUGCUAUAGUUAUAUGGCUGGGGUGGACAAUCCUGAAAAGAUUAGGGAAGAUCCUAGGAGUGAAGUCGGUUCCUAUUGCUCAUCUUGGUGAAGCUUGAUUGGGUGUCUACUUGGAUAGAAAACAAGAUGAACUAACCACGUUAGGUACUAUUGAAUUCAGAUUAUGCCCACAAAAUUUUGCUUCGACUCUAGCCGGGAACUCAUGCAUACAUCCAUCCACUACUGCACUUUAUAGGCUCCCUGUACUCGGGCUCCGAUGAUAGCAAGUAGAGACUCACAACCAGACACAUGAAGACCACCAGCGAUUUGCCGCUAACCGGCUACCUCCUCUAUUAGAUGACAAAAGUAUGACUGCUUGAGAUCGAAACAUCCAUGCAAUCUGCACGUUGGAUCAAAGAAUAAAGAGAAAUUUGGGGGAAUAUCAAAUGUGAGUUCCCCGCAUCUACUCUUCUUUUAGUUACUUUGGUGUCUUCCUGGAAGUUGUAUGAUCUGAAUGUCUGAUGUUCUGUACGAGAGCAAAGCCAGAUAUGAUUUGGCUUUGUUGCAUGUCUCCAUUAGACUUAGUUGUUUCUCCCCCGAAUUGAUAGAUGACGACUCAGUUAAUAAUGCGGUAUCAAAUAAUUUGUGGCAGCUCUAGGUUUUGAAUGGUUUGAUUACUGGAGUUCUUAUUAUUUUCCUACUAGGCACGUAUGUUUAUCCUAUGCUUUUGUUUUUUUACCCCGUGCCUUGAACUGAUAAAGUACAGAGCCUGGUGAGCACCGAUCAACCAAGGAAACCACAAGAGAAAAAAUACAACAAGACUGUACUCCAUAGCAGGAAAGUUCAGUAAGAUAUAUACUAUCUCCAUGCUCAUGGUUUCUUGAGCAUAGUCUAUACUUUGUUAUUCUCUUUCCAACGAAGUUAGUUCUACAAG